GUUUAUGGCUAUACCUAGACAAAAACAGCACACCAGUUCCCGCUCGAUCACUGCAGUUAAGCGACCGAGGGUCUCGUUAGUAUUAUGGUUGGAGACAACAUGGGAAUCCGGGAUGCUGUAGGCU
Molecule: ribosomal RNA, 124 nt
Filed under: Schizosaccharomyces octosporus yFS286
Lineage: Eukaryota; Fungi; Ascomycota; Schizosaccharomycetes; Schizosaccharomycetales; Schizosaccharomycetaceae
Source: RNAcentral